Molecule: long non-coding RNA, 349 nt
Filed under: Spirodela polyrhiza (greater duckweed)
Lineage: Eukaryota; Viridiplantae; Streptophyta; Magnoliopsida; Alismatales; Araceae
Description: long non-coding RNA (SPOL_LNC002131)
Source: RNAcentral
UCAGAAACGCUGCCUGCGACUGCCCUUCGACCCGCAGGCGGCGACCCACAAGGAUCUCCCCGUGGGGAAAUGAGCUGGAAGCUCCAGCUUCGAGCUCUAUGACGAGAGUGGACCAGGAGGGCUUCAACGAAGACGGAAGAGCAGGCAGAUCGUCUGCGGCGCGGGGAGAUUCGAGCGAAAUCAGAUCGACAGAAGAGAGAGCGGCGGCAGGAGGAAGGAGUUCGGACGAACCGGCGGCGGAUGCGAGGCCCUGCAACAGCAACAGUGAGGAGCCCGAGCGAGCCGGAGAUUUUCUCCCUUCUUACGGACAAAGAAGAGGGCGGAGAGGGAUUUAGAGAGUGUGCCAUAC